Molecule: ribosomal RNA, 254 nt
Filed under: uncultured bacterium
Lineage: Bacteria
Description: partial 16S ribosomal RNA
Rfam family: Bacterial small subunit ribosomal RNA
Source: RNAcentral
UACGUAGGGGGCAAGCGUUGUCCGGAAUCAUUGGGCGUAAAGCGCGUGUAGGCGGCUCGGUAAGUCUGCUCUGAAAGUCCAAGGCUCAACCUUGGGAUGCGGGUGGAUACUGCCGGGCUCGAGUCCGGAAGAGGCGAGUGGAAUUCCUGGUGUAGCGGUGAAAUGCGCAGAUAUCAGGAGGAACACCAAUGGCGAAGGCAGCUCGCUGGGACGUGACUGACGCUGAGACGCGGAAAGCGUGGGGAGCAAACAGG